This 63-nucleotide ribosomal RNA is filed under the name Betaproteobacteria bacterium. RNAcentral's name for it is "partial 23S ribosomal RNA". Lineage: Bacteria; Pseudomonadati; Pseudomonadota; Betaproteobacteria. The record is from RNAcentral.
AGCGCAGUAAUGCGUUAAGCUAACUGAUACUAAUUGCUCGUGCGGCUUGACCCUAUAACUUUG